Molecule: long non-coding RNA, 2307 nt
Filed under: Homo sapiens (human)
Lineage: Eukaryota; Metazoa; Chordata; Mammalia; Primates; Hominidae
Description: long intergenic non-protein coding RNA 1145
Source: RNAcentral
CUCUGCACGGCUGUGUACACCUGAGCGAGACGCUCAGUCGCUCUCUAAAGCCGCUUCUGCGGAUGACAGACACGGAGAUAAACGUGAGAGGUGGCCCACCACGACUUGCCCUCCUUUGCCCGGGUUUGCCCCUCGCUGCGGAGGCUGUUCUACAUCUGGCCCUUGGAGCAGGCCGGCUGACAGCGUGGUAAAGGAAGAUUUCUGCGGGAGGGCGGCCAGUGCAAAACAAUUCCCUGACCGGGAAUCGAACCCGGGCCGUGGCGCUUUCAGCACCGAAUCCUAGCCACUAGACAACCAUGCAGAUGCGGAAAGCUGCUUUCUCUCCCUUCUUCGACCUGAAGCGACACUUUCCUGUGCUCUAGGAGGACUUGGGUCUUGUGAGAGUCUCCCUUUGCUCCUGGAGUCGUCUCACAAGGCCGUUCACUCCCUGCUUUCUUCAAAAAAAGAACCUGCAGGCGACACACCAAGGGCUCCACGAGGGAGUCCUGAGUACUGGAGCGAGUUGCGGCCACGCGGCCGCAGCUCACCACUGGCCUAGAGAUGCCCUUUGCCAGGCGGCAGCAACUGACAAGAUGGUCGCGGGUCGCCGGGUCCGGAGCCGCCCACCAGGUUGCCAGGAGGAGGCGGGAGCGGGGAGGCGCCCGAGGUGAGACGGGGGCACCCUCUGCAUCAUAAAGGACCCAGACCCCGGCACCCUCAACAUCAUAAGGAAUCAGACGGAUGCGGAAACCGAGGCGGGCUGGAUAGGAAACUCUUUCCAGGAAGGCUCCGGGGCACUCAACUGGUCUCCAACCUUCCCCUGCAACCUGUGACGCCUGCCAUUUUCCCAUUUUAGGCGAUGGCAACGCAACCCCUCCGUUUGCUCUGGGCAAAACUUCGAGAGUUCCCUCUGAAGCUGGAGCUUUUUCCUCAGAUCCAAGAUCCAAUUGGUCACCAAUUCGUGAUUUCCGUCGGCCAAGUGCGUGGGCAUUGAUCUACACGCGAGUUUCUCCACCUCUGCCGAAUGGCUACUUCGGGGUGGGGGAGGGGCCCUCCCGCCGUGGAUUGCAAGGUGUUUAGCAGCAUCUGUCUCCUCCGCUGACUAGACACAUGCCAGGGGGAUAACAUUCUCCCUCCCGCUUCCCCCAGCCGCGGCCUAGUGUCCCAGCGGGGUUGGGAGAGGCAUGUGAGGGCGAAGUUGCCCCCUGUUGAGAACCAUUGCUGCGCGUAGUCCUUCUCUCUGAACUUGUGCAGAGGACUCUCCAGGUGAAGGCUCAAGGGUGGAUCCAGCUCGAGACACCCUCGCUCCCCCUCACAGUCGGACCUUAGGAUUUAGGCUUUAACAUCUCCACAUCAUGAGAUUCGAAACCUUUAGGUCUUGUCUUCCGUUCUGUCCUCCAAAUCGGCCUCUUCCGAGCCUGUUGACCAGGGCCAGCCGGGCAGAGGGCUGGGCUCGCUCAACGAGGCUCCUCUCGCACCUCCUGGAGCUUCAGGCUUCUUUCCGUUGCAGAGAAGCUUUAUGGGCCAAUUCGUUCGGCAUCCCCGGGGGCAGGUGCGCGGUGCGCGGGGAAGAAGAGGAUUUGACUGCGGUUCUCCACCCCCGGCGCCCAACCUCCACCCCGGUGCGCGCGCUCUUCCAGGCUCCUGCUGGUCCCACUUGCCAGGAGUUAGGUCUCAGGUCAGCCUGAGCUCCUGAGACGCCCAGGCCCGGAAAGACACGUAGGGGAAACCAUCUGCUCACUUCUGUCCUGUCCGGAAGGGAUCCCUUUCUGACGGGAAAGAAAGGCGCUAAACAAGCACUGGCCUUGAGAUAAGCAAUGCUGAAGCACUUGCAGCUCACCUAUUACCAUAAACUGACUGAGCCCUCCCUACACAAGCCGUAACUACUGCUUUGAUUGGACAAGAGACUGAUUUCAGUAGUUUUCUCUUGAUAAGAGACCACUGGCCGUGGGCGGGUUCUGGACAGUUUACAGAAGCUAUGCACUUGAUUGCCUUUGUGUCCCUGCUUCACCUUUUGAAGCAUAGGGCCUAAUUAUAAUGUAUUUAAAUGUUGUCUCCACCCCAAAGUGAACAUGGGUUGCAUGUAACAGGCAUGUUUACUCAGCAUGCAUGCAGCAGGAUCCCUUCACAAAUAUUCAGAGCUCCCCCUAUUCCCUGUUGAAUAUGUAUAUGUGGCCAGCCAGAUCAACGUAAAUCACUAUUCGCCCUCCCCUCCCUGGAAACCUACUUUUCGGGUUUCAGCAGGAAGCUAUGCCUCCCAGUCUGUCAGAAUGGCCACUUGCAGGCUGUAACCCUUUAUAAAAAAAUAAAAUCUCCUUUCUAAAUUUA